Molecule: long non-coding RNA, 772 nt
Filed under: Marmota monax (woodchuck)
Lineage: Eukaryota; Metazoa; Chordata; Mammalia; Rodentia; Sciuridae
Source: RNAcentral
GGGGCGGACAAGGCCAGGCAGCUGGUGUUUCCAGAGAGACACCUGCAGGCUUCUGGCAGGCAGCUGCGACGCAGGCAGCCUAAGCUGUGGCAAUAAGAGGUUUUUAAAAAUACAUUUCUGUAUUUUUAAAUUGUUCUGGCUGAAUGCUAAUUCCCUGAAGAGAACCAGAGAUUUUGUGUCUUUCAUUUUGCCUAGGAUUUCUCUUCUUUGCAGAUUUUCAACUGUCAUUUAAUUUCUCCCUUACCAGCCCUGUUGGCAGUUCCCGGUAGAGGCAGGAUGGAAGUCUCAGUGCUCUCUCUGAUUCCCACAUUUUUACUCCAGGGAAUCCUGCAUGAGAGGAAGCAGGUGGGAGCAGGGGAGGCUGGGGAGGAGGGAGGAGGAUCCCAAGGCUCCCCUGCCGUCAGGAGGGGCGGGUGACCAGGGGACUCCCUUCCUCCUAGCUGGACCAAAGGGCUUUUUGGCAUCUCUGGGCCCCAGCUGCCAAUUUCUGCCCCUUCUAGUCUGGAGGCAAUGUCGGGGUUCCCACCUGGUGUGUGUCCCCUACACUCUUGUGACAGACUCACCUGGUCAGUGACCGAGCACUUCUCAACUCGGUGCUCCAGGGGUCAACAUCUGCCUUGUCCCGUUCCAGCCUGGCCAUGCCAGGGUGUCAUGACAAGCUGAACCUGGCACUCGUGUCCCCUGCCUCUGUGGUGGGGGAUGUGGUUUGCAAUUAGACAUUCCCAGAGGUUUGUGGAGGGUCUUCCUUAAGAUGUGGCCGAGGCGUCUUGAC